RNAcentral lists this non-coding RNA (103 nucleotides) under uncultured Polaribacter sp. RNAcentral's name for it is "SAM riboswitch (S box leader)". It matches the Rfam family "SAM riboswitch aptamer (S box leader)". Rfam says of the family: The SAM riboswitch is found upstream of a number of genes which code for proteins involved in methionine or cysteine biosynthesis in Gram-positive bacteria. The SAM riboswitch acts at the level of transcription termination control. The record is from RNAcentral. Lineage: Bacteria; Pseudomonadati; Bacteroidota; Flavobacteriia; Flavobacteriales; Flavobacteriaceae.
GUUAUCACGAAAGGCAGAGGGAUUAGACCCAUUGAAGCCUUGGCAACCUCUCAUUUUUUGAGAAAGGUGCUACAUUCUACAAGUUUUUAACUUGACAGAUAAC